RNAcentral lists this ribosomal RNA (460 nucleotides) under uncultured bacterium. RNAcentral describes it as "partial 16S ribosomal RNA". It matches the Rfam family "Bacterial small subunit ribosomal RNA", at positions 338 to 795 of the family's 1533-position model. The record is from RNAcentral.
CCUACGGGCGGCAGCAGUGAGGAAUAUUGGUCAAUGGACGAGAGUCUGAACCAGCCAAGUAGCGUGAAGGAUGACUGCCCUAUGGGUUGUAAACUUCUUUUAUAUGGGAAUAAAAUGUUCCACGUGUGGGAUUUUGUAUGUACCAUAUGAAUAAGGAUCGGCUAACUCCGUGCCAGCAGCCGCGGUAAUACGGAGGAUCCGAGCGUUAUCCGGGUUUGUUGGGUUUAAAGGGUGCGUAGGUGGAAUGUUAAGUCAGUUGUGAAAAUUGGCGGCUCAACCGUAAAAUUGCAGUUGAAACUGGCAGUGUUGAGUACGGGAGAGGUAGGCGGAAUGCGUGGUGUAGCGGUGAAAUGCUUAGAUAUCACGAAGAACUCCGAUUGCGAAGGCAGCUUACCGGAGUGCAACUGACACUGAGGCACGAAGGUGUGGGUAUCGAACAGGAUUAGAUACCCUUGUAGUC